UGCCCAGCAACUCCUAUCCCUACCUCCUCGUGGUACCGGCCGGAAACUAUGAGCAACCUUAGGGAAGAUCGGGUAACCAACCCCGGUGGGAACUUUGGUCGUAGGCUGACAGGGAAGG
Molecule: non-coding RNA, 118 nt
Organism: Aedes albopictus (Asian tiger mosquito)
Lineage: Eukaryota; Metazoa; Arthropoda; Insecta; Diptera; Culicidae
Source: Rfam